UGUGUGGUAGCCCAAUAGGCAGCGCCCAGUUUGUCCCUAGCGGCAUGCCGUCGAAAUGUCUCAGUCCAGUUCAACAACAACUUUCCAUGUGCGAGGACAAGCGACAUUCAAUGCAUUUUGUGUGGCCUGCCCUAGAGUAAGUCUUGGGGAAAUGCAUACUUUUCAUCUCCUAAUUUUCACCCGCUUUCUAAUAUCCCUUGCUAACGUUUAGCUAUGUAUGCACUAGGCAUACAAUUCUAGCUACAGUUUGUUCUAGCUAGCUUGCACACUUCCUUGUUAAUGUGUGUAGACUGUGUAACGUUACGUCUGUCAGCUGACAAAUAACAUCGAUAGUAAGUGGUAGGUCCACAAUUUGUUGUAGUAAGUCCAUAGUUGCCAAUUAUCCUAGGCGACCGUUUCAUAUCAUUUUUCAGACUUCUACACUGACACACGGGCUCGUCAGCAUUUGGAGACAGUUUUUCCCUAACACCUCCCAGAUGUCCCAACUCGACACAGGCCAUGGGUUUGUCUAGUUGUCUGUCUGCCCUGUCUCUCUCAGCCCUGCUCACCCUGGCCUUGAUAACUUGUUUACACCUUAGCUACCUGUCUGACCAAAAGUUGUCACUGAUAAAGUUAACUAGCAAACAACAACCAGAUGAGACACCAAUACACCUAUCAGUAAGACCUGGUUUAGAGGAAGAUCCAGCAACAAAACAGGCCGGUGAGAGGGAGAUAGUGAACCUCCAGAGGGGUAGCACCCAUCCAGCCCCCAGCCACAGAUUGCUGUGGGAAGGCCCCCAUCCAGCCAUCUCCAGUGGUCCCAGAGAGGCAGAGUGUAGGAGGGGGGCCCUGGAGAGCCGCUUUGACUGCGCCCGCGACCGAGUUCUGAGCCAGACAGAGUGUCAGGGGAGAGGGUGCUGCUAUGCCCCCCUACCUCAAGGCCUCUCUGGAGGACCCCCCUGGUGCUUCUACCCCCCGUCAUACAGCGGCUACAGGAUGGGGCCCCUCACUCCCACUUCCAGGGGCCAGGCUGCCACCCUUACGAGGCCCACUCCCUCCUACCUGCCCCGGGAUAUCUCUACGCUCCGGUUGGAGAUCCUGGAUGAGACAGAAGGCCGACUGCACCUCACGUUGAAGGAUCCGUUGUCCCGGCGAUAUGAAGUUCCUUUAUCCACUGCCCAGUCCAGGGGUAACACUGACACCCAGGACCACCAAUAUGUUACUGAGUUUCAACCCGACCCUUUUGGGAUCAUAGUGCGCCGAAAAUCCAACGGCCGUGUCCUUGUGAACACCACAGUGGCCCCGCUGCUGUAUGCUGACCAGUACCUGCAGCUGUCCACCUCCCUGGCCUCCUCACUGGUGUCUGGGCUGGGGGAACACUACACCCCCCUCAGCCUGGACCUCAAUUGGACCUCCCUUACCCUUUGGAACAGGGACAUGGCGCCCCACGGCGAUGCCAACCUUUAUGGCUCUCAUCCGUUCUACAUGGUGCAGGAGGGGGAUGGACAGGCUCACGGGGUCUUCCUGCUCAACAGUAAUGCCAUGGAGGUGGUGCUGCAGCCUAGCCCUGCUCUGACCUGGGUGGCUGUGGGAGGAAUCCUGGACCUGUACAUCUUCCUGGGCCCUGACCCUCAGAGUGUUGUCAGACAGUACCUCCAGGUUAUAGGGUACCCUAUGAUGCCUCCUUAUUGGUCACUGGGGUUCCACCUGUGUCGCUGGGGUUACCGGUCCACUAACGCAACCCGAGAGGUGGUGCGACGCAUGCACAACGCCAACUUCCCCCUGGACGUGCAGUGGAAUGACCUGGAUUAUGCAGACAAGCGUCGGGUGUUCACCUUUGACCCCCAGCACUUUGUGGACCUGCCAGACAUGGUGAAGGAGUUCCAUCAGAAGGGCAUUAAGUACAUUCUCAUCCUGGACCCUGGGAUCAGCAGCACCAGCCCCCCUGGUACUUACCCACCCUUUGAUGAGGGUCAGCGGAGAGGGGUCUUCAUCAGGAACUCUACAGGACAGACACUCAUAGGGAAGGUGUGGCCUGGUCCGACAGCGUUCCCUGACUUCACCAACCCAGAGACACAGAGCUGGUGGGAGGACUGCAUUCGGGAGUUCCACUCCAGAGUCCCGCUAGAUGGCCUGUGGAUUGAUAUGAAUGAACCAGCCAGUUUUGUGCAGGGCUCUGUGGAGGGGUGUCCUGACAGUGAUUUGGAUAGCCCCCCCUACGUGCCACCGGUGAUUGGAGGACAGCUGAACACUGGUACACUCUGCAUGUCAGCUCAGCAGAACCUGUCCACUCACUACAACCUGCAUAACCUCUAUGGGCUGACGGAGGCUAGCGCCACCCACAGUGCCCUGGUGAAGGUCCGGGGGUCGCGACCCUUCGUGCUGUCCCGCUCCUCCUUCCCUGGCAUUGGCCGUUUCUCCGGAGUCUGGACGGGAGACGUGAGGAGCGACUGGGAGCAGCUCAGAUACUCCAUCCCUGCGGUGCUGCUGUUUGGCCUGUUCGGGGUGCCCCUGGUGGGGGCGGAUGUGUGUGGGUUCAGGGGGGACACCACAGAGGAGCUGUGUGUACGCUGGACCCAGCUUGGAGCCUUCUACCCCUUCAUGAGGAACCACAACGACAAGCCCAACGCUGUGGGUCCCCAGGAGCCCUAUGUGUUUGGUCAGGAGGCCCAGACAGCCAUGCGUAGCGCGGUGAUGUUACGUUACUCUCUCCUGCCGUUCCUCUACACACUCUUCUACCACGCACACACCUCCGCAGACACUGUGGCCACGCCUCUCUUCCUCCAGUUCCCCUCGGACCCUAACUGCCAGACCAUAGACAGACAGUUCCUGUGGGGGAGUUCUCUGCUUGUCAGCCCAGUGUUAGAGCAGGGGGCAGUGGAGCUGGCUGCCUACCUCCCCCCGGGGACUUGGGCCAGCCGUUCUACAGUAAGGGUCAGUACCUGCUCCUCCCAGCGCCUCUGGACACCAUCAAUGUCCAUGUGAGAGAGGGACACAUCAUCCCACAGCAGGAGCCAGGCCUGACUACCUCAGCUUCUCGCAGUAACCCUUUCCUCCUGACGGUGGCGCUGUCUGCUGGGGGCUGGGCCUGGGGUGACCUGUUCUGGGACGACGGGGACAGUCUGGACACCUUCCAGAGAGGAGACUACUCCUAUGUUAUCUUCAUCGCUGGACAGUCCCAGGUGAUGAGUGACCCCCUGCGUCAGAACGGGGCGCUGGACGGGCUGGUGCUGGGAGGGCUGCGAGUGUUCGGGGUGCCUUCCCCACCCCGCUAUGUAUGGGCCAAUGGAAAGAAAGUGUGGGAUUUCUCUUAUCAGACUGACACCAAGGUUCUGACACUGACCAGCCUGGCCCUGCCCAUGUCAGAGGUGUUUGAAGUCCUGUGGACCUUGUGAGCUUUAUGAACUGUAUGACUCAGUGGACUCUGGCCCAGUAGACAGCUUCUCAGGUGGUUCUAGAACUCCUGAACUAGCACAUCUCUGACAAAAACCUCCACUCAAAGUUUCCCCUCAAUCACUGCUACCCUGGAUAAGACAUUGCUCUAAUAGACUCCUGGGUUUCUGAAUGGACAGACUACACUGAAGAAUUUUUGGAAAUCAUGUUUUUAUAUUCAACUGUAUUUUCAAUAAAAUGAUGUGAACUGUGUGGGUUAAAGCUCCAUCAGAUAUCUCUCCAUUUCCUUGUUGUUGCAGAUGAGUGAUUACAUGACAUUGUCUCAGGUGAGAUUCUGAGACAGUGGUGUGAAUUUGAGAAUUGUGGUCAUUCUAGAACACUAGGCCAAAAUGUAUUGUUGUUUUACUAUUUUAAUUUGUCUAUAAGAAUAUAUAAAUAUUUUUAAAAUAUAUUUCUAACCUUUUAUUUUAUUUGUUAAGCACUUUUGAAAUGCAUCACCUGUAAGAAAUGUUCUCUAUAAAUAGCAUUUGAUUAAUUGAUAAAUAUUGUGCUGAGGAGGACAGCAGUGGCUCUACACAAUUAUUUUUAUUAAUUGAACAUUAAAAUUGACCAGAAUAUGCCCAUUCUGUACUCUUCUAGUAUGAUGGUAGGCUCUGUGUUAAGUCUCAUCAAAUUACUUCCAGUGAUAUUGCCACAUUGUUACCAUUAAAGGCAAUUGAUAGCUC
Molecule: non-coding RNA, 4097 nt
Organism: Oncorhynchus mykiss (rainbow trout)
Lineage: Eukaryota; Metazoa; Chordata; Actinopteri; Salmoniformes; Salmonidae
Source: RefSeq, a predicted model, not a curated record